Molecule: ribosomal RNA, 1274 nt
Filed under: uncultured fungus
Lineage: Eukaryota; Fungi
Description: eukaryotic LSU rRNA
Rfam family: Eukaryotic large subunit ribosomal RNA (bases 589-1274)
Source: RNAcentral
CUUGGUCAUUUAGAGGAAGUAAAAGUCGUAACAAGGUUUCCGUAGGUGAACCUGCGGAAGGAUCAUUAUUGAAAUAAACCUGAUGGGUUGUUGCUGGCUCUCCAGGGAGCAUGUGCACACCUUGUCAUCUUUACAUUUCCACCUGUGCACCUUUUGUAGACCCUCCCAGGUCUAUGUUGCUUCAUUUACCCCUGAUGUAUGUCAAUAGAAUGUAGUGCUUAUGAAAUAUAUACAACUUUCAGCAACGGAUCUCUUGGCUCUCGCAUUGAUGAAGAACGCAGCGAAAUGCGAUAAGUAAUGUGAAUUGCAGAAUUCAGUGAAUCAUCGAAUCUUUGAACGCACCUUGCGCUCCUUGGUAUUCCGAGGAGCAUGCCUGUUUGAGUGUCAUUAAUAUAUAUAUCAACCCCCCUCUUGUUGAGCGGGUUUGGAUGUGGAGGUUUUUGCUGGCCGCUUAAAAAAGGGUUCAGCUCCUCUGAAAUACAUUAGCGGGACAAGCCUGUCCAUUCAUUGGUGUGAUAAAUAUCUACGCUGUUGAAUGUGAGGCAGUUCAGCUUUCCAACAGUCCUUUGGACAACCUAUCAUUUUAUGUGACCUCAAAUCAGGUAGGACUACCCGCUGAACUUAAGCAUAUCAAUAAGCGGAGGAAAAGAAACUAACAAGGAUUCCCCUAGUAACUGCGAGUGAAGCGGGAAAAGCUCAAAUUUAAAAUCUGGCGGUCCCUGUGGCCGUCCGAGUUGUAAUUUAGAGAAGUGUUAUCCGCGCUGGACCGUGUACAAGUCUCCUGGAACGGAGCGUCAUAGAGGGUGAGAAUCCCGUCUUUGACACGGACUGCCAGGGCUCUGUGAUGCGCUCUCGAAGAGUCGAGUUGUUUGGGAAUGCAGCUCAAAAUGGGUGGUAAAUUCCAUCUAAAGCUAAAUAUUGGGGAGAGACCGAUAGCGAACAAGUACCGUGAGGGAAAGAUGAAAAGAACUUUGGAAAGAGAGUUAAACAGUACGUGAAAUUGCUGAAAGGGAAACGCUUGAAGUCAGUCGCGUUGCUCAGGAUUCAGCCUUGCUUUUGCUUGGUGUACUUCCUGUUCGACGGGUCAACAUCAAUUUUGGCUGGUGGAUAAAGGCACAGAGAAUGUGGCAUCUUCGGGUGUGUUAUAGCUCUGGGUCGCAUACAUCGGCUGGGAUUGAGGAACUCAGCACGCCGCAAGGCCGAGUACUUGUACCACGUACGUGCUUAGGAUGUUGGCAUAAUGGCUUUAAUCGACCCGUCUUGAAACACGGACC